UAUUUUCAACAGGCUUCGUGGAACAGCUGGAGAAUAAAAUCCUUGAAGAAUAAUGAGCUGUUUUGCCUGGAGAUCAGAAUAUGCAUGGAAAUAUAUUGUGUAUAACAUUAUUUGAAAUGUAUCUGAGAGGCAAUAAAUAAAAGUUGUAUCGAAAUAAA
This is a non-coding RNA of Styela clava, 158 nucleotides long. The record is from RefSeq and is a predicted model, not a curated record. Lineage: Eukaryota; Metazoa; Chordata; Ascidiacea; Stolidobranchia; Styelidae.